UCUCUUAAGGUAGCCAAAUGCCUCG
Molecule: non-coding RNA, 25 nt
Filed under: Arabidopsis thaliana (thale cress)
Lineage: Eukaryota; Viridiplantae; Streptophyta; Magnoliopsida; Brassicales; Brassicaceae
Also listed under: 2 other names
Source: RNAcentral